RNAcentral lists this ribosomal RNA (977 nucleotides) under Staphylococcus aureus. Its description in RNAcentral is "partial 23S ribosomal RNA". It matches the Rfam family "Bacterial large subunit ribosomal RNA", at positions 12 to 985 of the family's 2925-position model. Lineage: Bacteria; Bacillati; Bacillota; Bacilli; Caryophanales; Staphylococcaceae. The record is from RNAcentral.
UAAGGGCGCACGGUGGAUGCCUUGGCACUAGAAGCCGAUGAAGGACGUUACUAACGACGAUAUGCUUUGGGGAGCUGUAAGUAAGCUUUGAUCCAGAGAUUUCCGAAUGGGGAAACCCAGCAUGAGUUAUGUCAUGUUAUCGAUAUGUGAAUACAUAGCAUAUCAGAAGGCACACCCGGAGAACUGAAACAUCUUAGUACCCGGAGGAAGAGAAAGAAAAUUCGAUUCCCUUAGUAGCGGCGAGCGAAACGGGAAGAGCCCAAACCAACAAGCUUGCUUGUUGGGGUUGUAGGACACUCUAUACGGAGUUACAAAGGACGACAUUAGACGAAUCAUCUGGAAAGAUGAAUCAAAGAAGGUAAUAAUCCUGUAGUCGAAAAUGUUGUCUCUCUUGAGUGGAUCCUGAGUACGACGGAGCACGUGAAAUUCCGUCGGAAUCUGGGAGGACCAUCUCCUAAGGCUAAAUACUCUCUAGUGACCGAUAGUGAACCAGUACCGUGAGGGAAAGGUGAAAAGCACCCCGGAAGGGGAGUGAAAUAGAACCUGAAACCGUGUGCUUACAAGUAGUCAGAGCCCGUUAAUGGGUGAUGGCGUGCCUUUUGUAGAAUGAACCGGCGAGUUACGAUUUGAUGCAAGGUUAAGCAGUAAAUGUGGAGCCGUAGCGAAAGCGAGUCUGAAUAGGGCGUUUAGUAUUUGGUCGUAGACCCGAAACCAGGUGAUCUACCCUUGGUCAGGUUGAAGUUCAGGUAACACUGAAUGGAGGACCGAACCGACUUACGUUGAAAAGUGAGCGGAUGAACUGAGGGUAGCGGAGAAAUUCCAAUCGAACCUGGAGAUAGCUGGUUCUCUCCGAAAUAGCUUUAGGGCUAGCCUCAAGUGAUGAUUAUUGGAGGUAGAGCACUGUUUGGACGAGGGGCCCCUCUCGGGUUACCGAAUUCAGACAAACUCCGAAUGCCAAUUAAUUUAACUUGGGAGUC